Symphalangus syndactylus (siamang) is the source of this 784-nucleotide long non-coding RNA. RefSeq lists it as uncharacterized. The record is from RefSeq and is a predicted model, not a curated record. Lineage: Eukaryota; Metazoa; Chordata; Mammalia; Primates; Hylobatidae.
GAGCGAGGUCAAUGGCCCGGGUAGCUACAACAACUGUCGCCGCCGCUGGUCGCCUCAGCUGUGAAGCCUUGUAGGAGCCGUCUGGGUAGGGCGACGCCCCGCGGGCUGCCGCCGCCGCUGCCGUGAAGAAGCAGUUCAACGUCAUUAGCAGGUGGCCAACCUGACCAUGGGCGGGUCGGCUCCGGACCGGAACACGGCCCAGCCCGAGGCUGUCUGGGCUCAACAGCCACUUUUUCCAGAGAGAAGCUACAACAGCUUGAUAAGUUUGGAAAGGAUGAAGAUCUUCUCCCAAGUAAAUCUGUUGAGUUCGACUGGGCACCGUGACCCACACCUGUAAACCCAGCAUUUUGGGAGGCCAAGGCGGGCAGAUCAGUUGAGGCCAGGAGUACAAGACCACCCUGGCCAACAUGAUGAGGAAACUGAGGCUCAAAGAAGAUAAUGUGUCCAAGGUCACCUCGCUAGGAAAGAGUGGAGCUGAGAUUUCAACUGUGACUUUAAGCCCAAGUUCAAGGCUUCUUACUAGUUUUAACUACAUUCCCAUACCCCUUUUAAUCAAUCAUGGUCUCACUCUGUUGCCCAGGCUGGAGUACGGAGACACGAUCACAGCUCACUGCAGCCUCAGACUCCUGGGCUUAAGUUGCCCAGGCUGGUCUUGAACGGAGCUCAAGCAAUCUGCCCACCUCAGCCUCCCAAAGUGCUGAGAUUACAGGUGUGAGCCACUGUGCCCAGCCUAUGUUUUUAUAUUAAACAGUGUUAUAGCAAAUACAAGUAUAUGUGCAUGUUU